Molecule: long non-coding RNA, 3201 nt
Organism: Artibeus jamaicensis (Jamaican fruit-eating bat)
Lineage: Eukaryota; Metazoa; Chordata; Mammalia; Chiroptera; Phyllostomidae
Exons: 3
Source: RefSeq, a predicted model, not a curated record
AGGGGCCCUGGAGAGAGAGGGAGAGAGAGAGAGAGAAACUCAGCCUGGAGCUUCGGGACCUCCUCCCGCAUGGGUGUCCCUUUCCCCCUCACCCACUCACCUCCCCAAAGCAUGAGCAACAGCAGCCUCAGCAGCAUCCCUUCCUCAUGCCUGGAGGCAGUUCACCUUCUGCAGCCCCAUCUGAGAGAGAAUGGAAAGAUGCAGAUAAGGGAGGGCAGAAGAAGCUUAGACCGGAAGCCUGUGGUGAGAACGAAAAGUCACAAGGCCAGAAGAAGGAACUUCUUCCAGCACCAUUUCUGCAUGUGGCAAAUGAACCCUCAGGCUCAGAGGAGAAUCUCUGAGAGCAGCUCGCCCGGAAAUUUCCGUACACCUGCUACCCUCACAGCUGUGGCCACAGCAGCAGCUACAUCUCUGGGCUGCAAAGAAUAGUCUGGAUUCUGUUGGUGCCAUUAGAUGAGCCUGGAGGAGGGGGCAACUGCAGGCUGGUAAGAGAACUGGGUCGGGGGAGUCUUUUGGAUGGAAAGUGUGGUCUCUGCCCCAAAGUUCUCCCUUCAACAGGAAUACCCCCCUCUCUCAGGCCACUGCAGUAAAGUGAAAGCUGAGCUCAUCUCCCCCUGGACCUCAGCAGGUGCAUGCUUCCCUCCUUCUGAACCCUGAAACCCUGCCCCUCAUCUCUUGAAGACCAAUGCCCACUUCCCUGUAGGGAGGUGUGGAGUUUGAGGAUCUAUUUUCUCCAGAAGCUUUCUUAGAGCCAUAGGUACAGAGGAGUGAGAUUCUGAGACUCUCCUGGGACCAAAUUUUCUCUGUCUAGGGCCCACCCUGAGGCUGGAGCACCCUGGACAGCCACAGGAAGCACUGGGUAAACUCUCGAAUCCAUCUCCCCAAGGAGUCUAGGACUGAGCCUGGAACUCACUGCAGUGCCAGUCUUGGGUGGGUGGUAUGGGUUCAGGGGGAGAUCACAGAUGACUGGCUGUCAUCCCUCCUCACAGUUCCUGUGAAGCCCAGCACAUAUGAGUACAAAAUAUCCCUACUUGUCUUCUCCACAGCCUCUCCAGCCUCCAUAAUUCCUCCCCACCAUGGGCAACAGACCACCUGCCUUCCCUCUCCUAAUUGUGUCAUUCCUGCAGCCACUCAUUUCUCAGGUGACACCUCUGAGCUUUCCCAGUCUAAUCAAGGUACCUCAUAUACCUCCACAUUGCAUGUCUUCCAUCACCUCCAAGACAAGGCCUCCGUCCACCUCCUGGUAGUUCUUUUCUUCAUCAUCCUGCAGGCACUAAGAUCUCUAAGUAGGCACCAGCCAGAGAUGGAGCAAGAGAAAGAGAAGAAGAGAGGAAAAGAGAGGGAUGGGUGAGGGAGAAGAAGAGGAAGAGAGAGAGCAAGAGAAAGAGAGAAUCAGCAUGUCAGAGAAAGAUGCCCUUCCUGUCUAUGAGAAGUACAGGAGGAGGAGAUGGGGAUUUACCCCACCCAGAGAAGGAGGAAUUUCUGAAGAGAUUGGGGGUGGAUUCUGCCCUAUGCAUCAAGAAACCAAGGGUAAGAGAGCAAUCCGUCUGUAGCUGAAUAUAGGACCCUAUCUCCUAGGGUGGCAAUAAUAGAGGAGAGGGGUAUGAGAACUAUAUAAAUUAAUUAAAAUUAAAGAAAGUUAAGUCAGGGGCCUGCUUGAUGCUGCCUGAAAUGGAACUCGACUGCCUCCAAGGAGCCUCUGGAACAAGAAAAUUUCUGCAGAACUGGAUUAAUAGCUACUUUCCCAUGCCUUAGCACUUACCCACACCAUAAAGGGAAAACGGACCACAAAAGACACCUCAUAAAUGUCAAAGUUAAUCCCAAAUCCUUUCCCCCCAAUACUCUAGUUCCCCAUACCAGCAAUUCUCACAGAAACUACGAACAGGUACAAGCUCCAACUCUAGAGAUGGUUGACGUCUCUCUUCUUGCUUUUGUGAGGAGAGUCCAUCACUCUGUCUCUAGGUGACUUUUUUUUUUUUCUUAUUCUCUCUGAUCAAAAAACUGACUUCCUCUUUAAAACUCUGUGCUGACUCACAUCUUGAAUUAUUUCCUGCAAAACCAAGAACCCUCUCAGCUGGGGGCUGGAGUCCCUACUCGCCCCUUGACGUCAGCAAGGUGUCUGAGAAGGAGCCUAUUCUGUUUAUCCUCGGUUCCCAAACCUCUCCCAAUUCCCCUAUUGGAGUUUCACCAAUGGGGGUCAGUGGAGGGCGCUCUUUUUUCCCCCCCAAGACACGCUCUCCAAAUGGGAGCAGGCGCUGUCCUUGGUACUGAAGCAGGAUAGGGACCAGAGUUUAAGAAAAUGAAUUAGAAUUCAAGACUUACAAACUCAACUACAUAAAAUUUGGAGGCAAACCCAAGCCAAACUAGGUUAGAAGAAAAUAAUAAACUGGGCAAGGAAAUUCACAAUUGUAUUACAGCCAAUGAUUGUAUUUCCCAACAUCACAAGAAAUUAUUCAAAUCCUUAAAAAAAAUACUGUAUAAGCUAAUCACGAAAAGAUUAGAUGAACCAUCAUUUCAUAGAAUGGCGGAACAGGAUAGAAUAAAAAAUACUAGUGACUAUGAAACCUAUUCUAAAAUGCUCACUGUCAUACUCAACAAGAGGAAUGCAAGUUAAAGCUACAGUGAGGUACAGUUUUCAUUGGUAAGAAUACAACGAUCAAAGUGGUUGCUAACGCCCUCUGCUGUUGGGGUUGGAGUGAAACAGAGAGGCUAACUGCAGGGAAGUGGGGUGCAAACUGCUUCAACCUCUUGGAGAGCCAUUGGCCAUGUCUAUCAAAAUUAGAAAUGCAUGUGUCCUUUCAUUGAGUAAUUCAAAUUCAUACGGAUACAAAAUAGAUGUACAACAUUAUUCAUUGUAGUGUCAUGUAUAAGUAACCAAAGUUUUUUUCCUAAUCAGUAUGCCUUAGUUUAAAGUGUAAUACAUAUAUGCAGUGGAAUGCUUUGCAGUUGUAAAAAAAAAACAAAAAACGAUGAAGCUCUUUAUCUACUAACAUGGAAGGCUCCCCAAGAAUAAUUGUUAAUUUAAAAAUGGGAUACAGCCCUGGCUAGUGUGACUUAGCAGACUGAGCGCUGGACUGCGAAGCAAGGGGUCACUGGUUCGAUUCCCAGUCAAGGCACAUGCCUGGGUUGUGGGCCAAGAAGUCCCUAGUAGGGGGUGUGCAAGAAGCAACCACACAUUGAUGUUUCUCUCCCUUUCUUUCU